RNAcentral lists this ribosomal RNA (304 nucleotides) under uncultured Candidatus Saccharibacteria bacterium. RNAcentral's name for it is "bacterial SSU rRNA". It matches the Rfam family "Bacterial small subunit ribosomal RNA", at positions 28 to 351 of the family's 1533-position model. Lineage: Bacteria; Candidatus Saccharimonadota. The record is from RNAcentral.
GAUGAACGCUGGCGGCGUGCCUAAUACAUGCAAGUCGAGCGGUAAGGUCCCUUCGGGGAUACACGAGCGGCGGACGGCUGAGUAACACGUAGGAACGUACCCCAAACUGAGGGAUAAGCACCAGAAAUGGUGUCUAAUACCGCAUGUGGCCUUCGGGCUAAAGCUCCGGCGGUUUGGGAACGGCCUGCGCAUGAUUAGCUUGUUGGUGAGGUAAAAGCUCACCAAGGCGAUGAUCAUUAGCUGGUCUGAGAGGAUGACCAGCCAGACUGGAACUGAGAACGGUCCAGACUCCUACGGGUGGCAG